Molecule: long non-coding RNA, 529 nt
Organism: Erpetoichthys calabaricus (reedfish)
Lineage: Eukaryota; Metazoa; Chordata; Cladistia; Polypteriformes; Polypteridae
Exons: 2
Source: RefSeq, a predicted model, not a curated record
CACCUUGCCGGUAUGACAACACUUAGUGCAAUGUGUUGACCUCUGAUGGCCAAUGAAGAGCAUUGCAAGAAGUACAUAGUGCGGUAGGUAGGCCAAUGUUAUGCUCUUGGACGUGAAUGGCGGUAUCCUCUUGAAAAGCAGCGGAAAACUGAAUGCGAUGACUGUGCAUGUUGGAAUGUUGUUGACACUGAAAGGAAUUGGAAUGAGUUUGUAAGUGCUUCUUGAGAGCACGAGUUGUUUUUGAAGCAUUGCUGGCAAUGUUGACAUUACAUAAUUCGUUCAGUGGAGUAUGUUUUUAAAUGUGCGUUGAGAUAUCUCUGCAGUCAGAAGGUUUUGGAACAAAUGGUGCAUUGAAAGUCCUGUGUGGAAUGCCUUUGUUCAGUGGAGUGUGUGUUUAAAUGUGCUUUGAGAUAUUUCUGGAGUGUGAAGGUUUUGGAGCAAAUGUUGCAUUGAAAUUCCGGUGUGAAAUGCAUUUAUAAAUGUUUUUCAGUAAGAGGAUAGUGGGAAGGUGACGUCACAUCAGUGUGGC